This 489-nucleotide ribosomal RNA is filed under the name uncultured bacterium. RNAcentral describes it as "partial 16S ribosomal RNA". It matches the Rfam family "Bacterial small subunit ribosomal RNA", at positions 30 to 507 of the family's 1533-position model. The record is from RNAcentral.
AUUGAACGCUGGCGGCAGGCCUAACACAUGCAAGUCGAACGGUAACAGGAAGAAGCUUGCUUCUUUGCUGACGAGUGGCGGACGGGUGAGUAAUGUCUGGGAAACUGCCUGAUGGAGGGGGAUAACUACUGGAAACGGUAGCUAAUACCGCAUAACGUCGCAAGACCAAAGAGGGGGACCUUCGGGCCUCUUGCCAUCGGAUGUGCCCAGAUGGGAUUAGCUAGUAGGUGGGGUAACGGCUCACCUAGGCGACGAUCCCUAGCUGGUCUGAGAGGAUGACCAGCCACACUGGAACUGAGACACGGUCCAGACUCCUACGGGAGGCAGCAGUGGGGAAUAUUGCACAAUGGCGCAAGCCUGAUGCAGCCAUGCCGCGUGUAUGAAGAAGGCCUUCGGGUUGUAAAGUACUUUCAGCGGGGAGGAAGGGAGUAAAGUUAAUACCUUUGCUCAUUGACGUUACCCGCAGAAGAAGCACCGGCUAACUCCGUG